CCCUUAGAUGUUCUGGGCCGCACGCGCGCUACACUGACGAAGUCAGCGAGCAUGUCCUACGCCGACAGGUGCGGGGAAUCUUGUCGAACUUCGUCGUGAUGGGGAUUGAUUAUUGAAAUUCUUGAUCAUCAACGAGGAAUUCCUAGUAAGCGCAAGUCAGCAGCUUGCGUUGAUUACGUCCCUGCCCUUUGUACACACCGCCCGUCGCUACUACCGAUUGAAUGGUUUAGUGAGAUCUUCGGAUUGGCGCCACUGCGGCUCAGCAAUGGGCUCGGUGGAUGCCGAAAAGUUGAUCAAACUUGAUCAUUUAGAGGAAGUAAAAGUCGUAACA
This 331-nucleotide ribosomal RNA is filed under the name uncultured eukaryote. RNAcentral's name for it is "partial 18S ribosomal RNA". It matches the Rfam family "Eukaryotic small subunit ribosomal RNA", at positions 1470 to 1796 of the family's 1831-position model. The record is from RNAcentral.